RNAcentral lists this ribosomal RNA (253 nucleotides) under uncultured bacterium. Its description in RNAcentral is "partial 16S ribosomal RNA". It matches the Rfam family "Bacterial small subunit ribosomal RNA", at positions 524 to 776 of the family's 1533-position model. The record is from RNAcentral.
GACGAACCGUGCGAACGUUGUUCGGAAUCACUGGGCUUAAAGGGCGCGUAGGCGGGCAGGCGAGUCCGGGGUGAAAUCUUUCGGCUCAACCGGAAAAGGGCCUCGGAGACCGGCUGCCUCGAGGAAGGUAGGGGCAUGCGGAACUUCCGGUGGAGCGGUGAAAUGCGUUGAUAUCGGAAGGAACGCCGGUGGCGAAAGCGGCGUGCUGGACCUUUACUGACGCUGAGGCGCGAAAGCCAGGGGAGCGAACGGG